This 306-nucleotide long non-coding RNA is filed under the name Elaeis guineensis (African oil palm). Its description in RNAcentral is "long non-coding RNA (EGUI_LNC076007)". Lineage: Eukaryota; Viridiplantae; Streptophyta; Magnoliopsida; Arecales; Arecaceae. The record is from RNAcentral.
AGGUUUUCGUGCAUUGAGAAGAUGGUCCUAGAUAAGGGUUUAAUAUCGAUUGAUGACAUUAUAGGCAUGGAUGCAGCUCCUGUUGAGGUGAGUAUGAUGUUGUAGUUGUUAUACCAGAAUUUAAAUAUGAUGUUAUUUUUAACCUAAAUAAUCUUUAUUAUUAGGUGAGGGCAGAUCAUUUUGUUGUAGGUGAAAAGAUCCAUCCAGUCGAAGUGGACCAUAAUAUCUCUCAUAGUACAGAAGUUGUUGAGGUAGUUUUUAUUGAUUUAUAGUUAAAGAUAUGAUUUUCAUAUUAUAAUAUGAAUG